This 497-nucleotide ribosomal RNA is filed under the name uncultured bacterium. Its description in RNAcentral is "partial 16S ribosomal RNA". It matches the Rfam family "Bacterial small subunit ribosomal RNA", at positions 899 to 1397 of the family's 1533-position model. The record is from RNAcentral.
ACUCAAAUGAAUUGACGGGGGCCCGCACAAGCGGCGGAGCAUGUGCCUUAAUUCGAUGCAACGCGAAGAACCUUACCUGGGUUGAACUACGCCGGAAAAGCUACAGAGAUGUAGUGUCCGCAAGGGCCGGCGAUAGGUGGUGCAUGGCUGUCGUCAGCUCGUGUCGUGAGAUGUUGGGUUAAGUCCCGCAACGAGCGCAACCCUUGUCCCAUGUUACCAGCGGGUUAUGCCGGGGACUCGUGGGAGACUGCCGGGGUCAACUCGGAGGAAGGUGGGGAUGACGUCAAGUCAGCAUGCCCCUUAUGUCCAGGGCUGGACACAUGCUACAAUGGCCGGUACAAAGGGCUGCUAUCCCGCGAGGGGGAGCGAAUCCCAAAAAGCCGGUCUAAGUUCGGAUUGAAGUCUGCAACUCGACUUCAUGAAGUCGGAGUCGCUAGUAAUCCCGGAUCAGCAACGCCGGGGUGAAUACGUUCCCGGGCCUUGUACACACCGCCCGU